UAGGGAAUCUUCCGCAAUGGACGCAAGUCUGACGGAGCAACGCCGCGUGAGUGAAGAAGGAUUUCGGUUCGUAAAACUCUGUUGUUAGAGAAGAACAGCGCAUAGAGUAACUGUUAUGCGUGUGACGGUAUCUAACCAGAAAGCCACGGCUAACUACGUGCCAGCAGCCGCGGUAAUACGUAGGUGGCAAGCGUUGUCCGGAUUUAUUGGGCGUAAAGCGAGCGCAGGCGGUCAAUUAAGUCUGAUGUGAAAGCCCCCGGCUCAACCGGGGAGGGUCAUUGGAAACUGGUUGACUUGAGUGCAGAAGGGGAGAGUGGAAUUCCAUGUGUAGCGGUGAAAUGCGUAGAUAUAUGGAGGAACACCGGUGGCGAAAGCGGCUCUCUGGUCUGUAACUUACGCUGAGGCUCGAAAGCGUGGGGAGCGAACAGG
Molecule: ribosomal RNA, 429 nt
Filed under: Bacteroidota bacterium
Lineage: Bacteria; Pseudomonadati; Bacteroidota
Description: Bacteroidetes bacterium partial 16S ribosomal RNA
Rfam family: Bacterial small subunit ribosomal RNA
Source: RNAcentral